This 32260-nucleotide long non-coding RNA is filed under the name Homo sapiens (human). Its description in RNAcentral is "HSALNT0343657". The record is from RNAcentral. Lineage: Eukaryota; Metazoa; Chordata; Mammalia; Primates; Hominidae.
CUCAUUCUGUCUUGCCGCCACAAUGUAAGAAUUGUCUCUCACCCUCUGCCAUGUAAGAAUUCUCUUUCACCCUCUGCCGUGAUCGUGAGACCUUCCCCAGCCAUGUGAAACUUUUUCAGCUUUCCUCCACUGUUUUGGGAAACGUCACCUUCUUAUCUUGGAAGAGUAAUCUCAAAAUUGAAGCAUCUUAGAUCCAACAAGAAUUAAAAGGAUGGGAAGUCCUUGCAGCCAUCCAAUAGAGUCAGAAGACUUUGGAUUUUGGAGUCUGUGAGAUUAUCUUACAGAGCAAGACUGCAGAUCAAGAUUUUCCAACGUGGUGCUGACUUUUUUGAGAACAGUUAAUGAGAACUAGGAAAGUCCUUGCAGACCAUCCAGUCCAGCGGCUUUCAAAUGGAAAAUGUGAAAGGACAACAGAAUCACAUGGAUUCUUUUCUGAACUGCUUUUUUCCAGUGAUGCCAUAUUCUAUAAGACUUCAUGUGAAGGUGUGGAGGACGGGUAAUGUCUGAAUCUUCCAGGCAAUGAGAGGGAUGGUGUGAGUCUGGAAAUUCUUUGUGAUGGUCUGAGACUCCCCUUACUCCAGUUAAGAACACUGACUUAAUUCGAUCUGGUUUUUUUUAACAAAUGGCCUCUGAGACGUAGAGCAGUGAGGAUAAGGACUCUUACCCGGUUACAGAGUGGAGUAAGGGCUAGAACUCAACUCUUAAAAAUUUCAAAUGCAAUGUUCUUUCUACAAUAUUGUGCCUACUUCUUCACUUCUGCUUAUAGGCAACUUCCUUUUCCUUUAAUUCUCUAAUAUUUGGAGGGCACGUCACAACUUAUACACUUGCUCUAUAUGUUUUACAUUGCUUCUCAUGGUUUCUCAUGCAUAAGUAUAGUAUUUUCUUAUAUUUUAAAUUUUCUAAGAACAGGUAACCUAUUUUAAACUCCCCUUGCAAUUAUGCAGGUAACUAACACAUUGAUGAUAAGCUAAUAUUAAGAGAGCAAAAUAGUUGAUGAUUAGUUUAUUAGUAUCUCAAAAUAAUCCAUUUGAUGUGCUAAGGUGCUAUUAGUUACAACAUUUCAAGUAUACAUGCAAUUCUUGUUAGAAAUAUUAUCCACCUUUUGAAAUACAUGUUGAUUAAAGACUAACAUGGGCUGUGGGCAUAGGUACAGUAACAGCAUACCAUAGGCCGGAGAAAGAGUUGACUUUGGAGGUCCAAGAUCAAGAAGCAGGAUGUCUAACAGGGCUCUUGAGAAUUCUAGGGCAGCCGGUACUCGAAAGGCAAGAUUUGAUUGUGAAUGAUUUCAUGCAACUCCGUUGGUUAAUAAGCAAAUCCUGCCCACACUUGUGGAUAACAUGGAAGCUACCUGAGCAGGUAAAGGCUAAGACAGAAGAUCCAUGAACAGAACUGGAGUUUUGAUAAUUCACCAGGAACUUGGUUACUUUGUUGUACCUUUUAUGCUUUUAUAUUUCUUCUUCCCUUUCAUUUCCAUGCAAUGUAUUUAUAACUUGUAGCUAGAUUUUUAGAUUACUGCCAGACAAAUUCAGUCAAUUUAAUUAAUUAGGCAAAUUAAAGUGAAAAUUAUGUUUUAGGGGCUGUUAAAAUUUAUAAGACAUUAGCACAUUCUUCUCAUGUGCUUUUAUUAUUAUUACAAAUGUUGUUUCAUAAUUAGCCAUGUGUUAAUUGUUAGCUUGGGGAAUGAUUUACGUGUUUAAAAUUGGGAGAAAUCAUUUUGGCUAUGGCUACCUCUUUUAAUUUACUUACAUAUUUUUUUCCCAUCACACAGUGUUUGACUUUUACAACCACAUACAUUUUGAUUAGAACCUGAAAUAAUUCAGUAAAACAAGAUGAUGGUUUUUUGUUCUGCUCAAUCUUUGUAUCAUAACCUUCACUUCUCAAUGCUCAAAUGAUGGAAUGAAAAGUGGACAAUUCUUGACUGCAUCGUGCUGCCCUUGUGUUGCUGUACUGUUAUUUCACACUUGAUACAUUCACAUUUUUUCUAUUCUUAUGAAUUUUCUCAAAAAUUGUACUCUAAAGUGCAUGAGGACAGAGACUAUGUCUUAUUUUAUUUUAUUUUAUUUAUUACUUCAAGUUCUUGGAUACAUGUGCAGAAUGUGUAGGUUUGCUACAUAGGAAUACGUGUGCCAUGGUGGUUUGCUGCGCACCUAUCAACCCGUCAUCUGGGUUUUAAGCCCCAUAUGCAUUAGGUAUUUGUCCUAAUGCUCUCCCUCCCCUUCCUCCCAACCUCCCAACAGGCUGGUGUGUGAUGUUCUCCUACCUAUGUUCAUGUGUUCUCAUUGUUCAAUUCCCACUUAUGAGUGAGAACGUGUGGUGUUUGGUUUUCUGAUCUUGUGUUAGUUUGCUGAGAAUGAUGGUUUCCAGCUUCAUCCAUGUCCCUGCAAAGGACAUGAACUCAUUCUUUUUUAUGGCUGCCUAGUGUUCCAUGGUGUAUAUGUGCCACAUUUUCUUUAUCCAGUCUAUCGUUGAUGGGCAUUUGGGUUGGUUCCAAGAAGAGGAGAGAAAGAGACUAUGUCUUAUUAAUUCUAUUAGGUUGGUGUCUAAUUCUAUUAGGUUGGUGUCUUAUUAAUUCUAUUAGGUUGGUGCAAAAGUAAUUGUGGUUUUUGCCAUUACUUUCAAUUGCAAAAACUGCAAUGACUUUUGCAUCAAUAUAAUACAUGUCUUGUAGUAGUAGUUUCCAAACUAGCCACAUCAGAAUCACCCAAGGUGUCUUUUAAAAAACCUAGAAUCUAAGAUCUCAGCUUGGGAAUUCUGAAAAGUUUUAAGAAGGGUCUCAAGAUUCUGAUUUUUUUAAAAGCUCAUCCAGAUAAUUUUUCUGGACAGUUGAUUUUGAAAUUCACUGGUCUAUAGCAUGAAACACUGCCUUGCAUUUAGUAAUUGCUCAAAGUGUUCUUUUGUUUAUUUUGAAACUUACAUCACUCAAGAGAGCCAUGUAAACCAGGUCUAGCGUGUUUACUUCAUUAUUUUCUCUUCUUUUUAUUUUAUUUUACUCUAAGUUCUGGGAUACAUGUGCUAAUCAUGCAGGUUUGUUACAUAGGUAUACAUAGCUUCUGCACAGCAAAAGAAACUAUCAUCAGAGUGAACAGGCAACCUACAAAAUAGGAGAAAAUUUUUGCGAUCUAUCCAUCUGACAAAAUUCUAAUAACCAGAAUCUAUAAGGAACUUAAACAAAUUUGCAAGAAAAAAACAAACAACCCCAUCAAAAAGUGGGUGAAGGAUAUGAACAGACACUUCUCAAAAGAAGACAUUUAUUUUCUCUUCUUGGUGCUUUGCCUUGCUUCACUGACUACCUGACAAAAACCAAUUCAGAUGCAUUCUUUUUUUGUUUUAUGGUGCAUAUUGACAAAAUAACCAAGACUUUUUAUUGCUUCUUCAAAACUACUUGAAAAAUCUGAUGGUGCUUUUUAAAAUUUGCAUUAGCGCUUUAUGGUACAAGACCACCCUGUUGCCUAUGUUUUCUGGCUGGAAGUGUUGGAUAUAUCUUGGAAGACUGAUGCAAGACAAAUGUCUACCCACAUUGACACUGUCCUUUGGAUCCUGGUGGCUGCUGCUGUUUUCAGAGUCUUCUUCCACUUUAAACAUACUCUAAAUGAUGUAUUUGUUCCAGGAAGCUAUCUUAUCUCUGAUUACUCUCUGCUGCCUGGCCUUCUGAUUGCUUCUCUUUCCAACUGCCAUUUUCCAGAUCAUCAUAUGGCAGUUAUCCAUUCUUGGUGCAUGGCCAGUCCAUUGAAAUUAUGACAGAAAACUCUGCAGUUGUCAACUGCGUGAAUGAUUUGCUUUAGCAUUGAGUAGUUUAGUCUCAUUCCCAUAUUUGUUAUGGGUUACUCUGUCUUGCAAUUUUAAAUUCAAAAAGCAUUGUUUCCAGCAUUGAGGAAACUUUUCAAGAAGCUUAAUGUUUUGGUUGCUUAGUGUACUUAGCUUCCUAGAGGUGUGUAGAAAUGUGUUCCUGGCUUAUACUUCAUGGGUCACGAGUAGAGUCACUAAAGUUUAGGAACAAAAAAUCAAAAGAUGUGGGUUGGUAGAGGAUGAGUGAAAAAAUAACAAAUAGGAGUGAGGAAUACUUAAGAGAGAGUACCGAAGAGAUGGAGAGGGAAAAAAAGUACUAACUACAAAGAACCUAGAGAGGUUAUCUUAAGAGGUUUUGCAGUAAGGGGAUAAUUCAUUAAGAAUAUUUCAAAGAUUAUAUCUGACAGGUGAGCCCUUGGGCCAAGAGCCCUUUGCAGAUUUGGGCUGUGUCUCUUCCCCCUUUCCCCACCCCCAUUCUUAUUUAUAUCCUUUGAAAUGUCAUGAGAAGAUUAUUUCCUUUACAACCAUUUUUUCCCCAAUUAGUCUAAUGCAGAGAUUUUUAAUAUAUGACUGGUGGAUUUACAAGUUAAGCACUGGUCCUUGAAUCCUCUAGAAUGGUUUGUAAAAUUUGUAUUUUAUCUUCAUGUUUCUCCUCCAGGGGGAAGUCCAAAAGUUAAUCAUAUUCUGAAAGGGAUCACUGACCAGAAAACAUUUCUGUUUUUCUUUUUUUCUUUCUUUCCUUUUUUUUUUUUUUGACAGAGUUUCACUCUUGUUGCCCAGGCUGGAAUGCAAUGACAUGAUCUUGGAUCACUGCAACCUCCACCUCCCAGGUUCAAGCGAUUCUUCUGUCUCAGCCUCCUGAGUAGCUGGGAUUACAGGCGCCCACCAUCACACUCAGCUAUGUUUUUUUUUUUUUUUUUUUGUAUUUUUAGUAGAGGUGGGCUUUCACUAUGUUGGUCAGGCUGGUCUCGAUCUCCUGACCUCAAAUGAUCCACCCACCUCGGCCUCCCAAAGUGCUGGGAUUACAGAUGUGAGCUACCGCUCCCGGCCCUGUUUUUUUUUUUUUUUUUUAAUUAAAAUUUUAGAAGAUCAACUAACAGUGGACCCCAUCCAUGGAAACCUGUCACUGAGUAACAUAUUCUCCAGAUAACAGUCAGCAGAGUCCUGGGAAUUAGGCUGAUGACAGUAGCUGGUCGCUGGGCUGAUGCUUCCAUCCUUUACCAUUUAGUCGUUUUGGAGCUUGAUCAGUGUUACCUUUUGUCUCUCAUCGUCUCAAAGGAGUCUUAAACCUUUGGAUGUCAUUUUCCAGUUUCUUGUGAACAAAACACCAGUGACUUGUUUUUUAUUUUUUUCCCUCUUUUCUUCUUUUUCACAUAGGCAAUUGAUAUCUGAGAUGCUUUUCAGACUUGAAUUACAGGUGCAGACCAUUUGUUGUAUUUAGGGUUUCUCUCCUGCAAGCUGGAAAAUAGAUCGUGUUUGCAUUUUUAGCAUUUUAAAAAUGCUAGUGCAUUAGCUGAUUUGCAAAUUAUUUUGUAACUACUUGAAUGUAAACAUUUUUCCAGGGUCAGUUUCAGGAACACAACUUUCAGUACAUACCCACCCUUAGAUGACUACAGUUAUCUUUAGGACUUUUGAUAAUGUUUACAGUUUCCUGCCUGAAAGAAUUUUACUGAUGUCAGGAAGUAUAUUCUGAUACAGCUUUUAGGUCCCCUGAUAACUCCCUGAGCAUAGCUACGUAAUCUCUCUGACAAAUGGUAAUUUGUCAGUCUGUGGCAGAAGCAGGAUUUUCAUCAGUCUGGCAAAAACUUCUGAGCUAAUAAGUUACUGGUUCUGAGUUUAUUCUCAAAUGGGUGAUAGCUGCCCAUUCCUCUAUUCUCUGAGUUCCUGAAGAGAAUCAGCAGAAACUAAAAGUAGGAAAAGAGAGGAGAUGAGAUUAGUGAUGAAAUGUAAUAAAUGGAAACUGUUAAACAGCCCUUGCCUAUCGAUAGUGGGGUUGGCUGAUGUGUCUGAGAAGGAAAAACCACAGCUUAAAAUGAGUACAGCCAGGCUGGGUGUGGUGGCUCAUGCCUGUAAUCCCAGCACUUUGGGUGGCCGAGGUGGGUGAAUCAUGAGGUCAGGAGUUCGAGACUAGCCUGACCAACAUGGUGAAACCCUGUCUCUACUAAAAAUACAAAAAUUAGCUGGGUGUGGUGGCGUGCACCUGUAACCCCAGUUACUCAGGAGGCUGAGGCAGGAGAAUCGCUUGAACCCAGGAGGCAAGGAGCCAAGAUCAUGCCACUGCACUCCAGCCUGGGCGACAGAGUGACACUCCAUCUCAAAAAAAAAAAAAAAAAAGGAAAAAAAAAGACUACAGCCAUAAGUAACCAUUUCACCAUGGGGGAAAAUUCUGUGUGUCCUUUACAUAGAUUUUAUUGUAGAAGUUAUUGCUCCAGAGAUUUAUAUCUUGCAUUUACUUAUUAUUUACUUAUUUCAUUUAUGGAAAGCAGUAUGAAAACCUAUCUACUGUAUAGAAUAUGUAAUUGUUUGGAGUAAAGUUUUAAAAAAUUUACUUUCAGACCCUGCUUGAUGCUCAUUAAUUCCUUGUUUUCAGAUUGCUUAAUACCCAUUUCCUAUUUCAUAUCUUAAAUUACUUCAAUUAUUAUUCAAAUUUGCCUAAUGGUAGUCAUUUUAUCCCCCAACAUAGAAUAGUCAUAUGGAUUUAUGUUUAUAUCUAUCUCUACCUCUUAGCAAAUAGCCAUAAGCCCAUAGUAAUAAAUGAUCCCCUUGAAAACCAUAAGUUCUUUUGUUUAUGUUUAUCAGUGCAGGGAUUAGGGCUACCAGUGAGUAAGGCCAGAGAAUUGUCCAGGUAAAAGAGGUUCUGAAGAUAACAAGGUUGAGAGAAGUGAGGAAGUCUGUGGAUAAGGGAAGCACACCAGGUUUAGGACCUUAACAAGGAGAUGGAGGAACACAGAAGAAAUAAAGAGCAAAGGAGCUCAGCCAGAUUAGCAUCUGGAGAGGCAGACAGAAAGAAUUCUGAGGCCUGGAAAACACACAUAGGUAAAGAUGAGUAACAAGUGUCAGAAAAGUGGCCAAGAGGGCCAGGUAGAAAAAAUCAGAACCAGACCCAGUGUCCGGACAGCAGAUUCAAUUAGAAAAUGUGCAGAAAAAAUAAAAGACCAUGUUAACAUGUAUUGUGAGCCUGACUAUGAUACGCUGUUUGCACUGGACCAGGAUGAAGUCAGCAUGAGGCAGUACUGAGCCCACAGGCAGGGAAAAUAGGAGAGGCAGAUGGAGCAGGAGGCCAGGCAGUGCCUGGCUCCACCUUUGGCAGAAUUUCAUCUGGACCUCGUUGGAUUGCUUAUCUUUGCAUUUUCUAGACAUCCUUUAUCUUUUUAACUUAUUGGUCAAUGGCAUAUAUAUAUUGCACCAUGCAGCUCAAGCAACCAACCCUUUUGUACUUUUUUAUUUAGAAAAAAAGUAAGACUCUGUUGGGAGGCUUUUACUGUCUGCUCUUUUCUGAUUCAUUUCAACUUUAUUUAAUCUAUACAAGACCAAAUAAAAUGCAGCAUUCUUGUCCCAAUUGUAAUAGAUCUUAUGUUGACACAUUGCUGCCAUUGUCCUGUGAAACGAGUAAAAGGAAUUGCCGUAAGAGGGUCUUUCUGUGCCAGUUUUUCCUUCUGAGUUUUUGUUGCUUUUGGAAACAUCCUCAUGUGACCUCCUUUACUGAUAAGAUUUUAACGGGCCAAGUGCAAAUCUAGGCAUUACUUUAGAAUUUGCAGUUUAGACAUUUACUGUUGAGUUGAGUAUACAUACUACAGGGUAUAGAGGUAAGUAAUGAGACUAUGUUCACAUUUUGAAAUAAGUGCUCUUCUGCCAGGGUUACACGAGGACACCUUCGUUUACCAGUUUGAUUGAUCUUCUAAGAAGGUUCAAAUGAGGAACAGCUAAUGCUACUGAUUCCUCUCUCACAGUGAUUGAAAAGGGAUUUCCAACAGUUCAAGUCAGAGUGAAGGAAUAGGAAAAUUUCAGGCAUAGGCAAGGAGCUGGUCAAUAGCAUGUUGCAAGAGUCUCGAGGAGCAAAAGUCUCUUAUUUACAUUCUGGUUUCAUCCACCAAAGAAUCAGGUUUUCUAUUAGAAUGAUACAAAAAAAUGGAUGAUAAUGAUACUGAUUGGAUACUCAGACAGAAAGAUGCUCCCUGGCAUGAGUGACUGUGGGUGGAGGUAGGUAUGAGAGGCUGGUGGUGGGCAGCCAUGUUAGCAGAGAGAGGUAAAAACAGUUGAUCAGGCGAGAAAGAUGAAGUUCUAAUGUUGUUGGAUCUUGGCUGAUUUUGAAACACUAAACAGUCCCUCCCAGCAUCUCCCUGUCAUCACUGCUUUGUUUUCCCCAGUCCCUUGCUUGUGGUUCUGGCUCUCUUGCCUCGAGUCAGCCUUUGGACCUGAGUUUUUUCCUUUGGCUUUUGGUUGGAGGACAUGAUGACCUCACAGAUGGUCUUCAUAAAUCAGCCACUCACUGUGCUCCCAGGAAUCUUUGAUUCUACUCUCUAGUUCGUCUCCUUGACUGUGCCCUGAAACCUGGCUCACUCUAUUAAGUCAUGCUGGAUAUUGUGGGGUCAUUUUCCACCCCUCAUGCAUGUCCCUGACCCACUUGUUUUCUCUGAAAGUCGAUUUUCAUUUUCUGUAACUCUAUGUCUUUGCUCUUCUCCCUCUGCCCCAUAGCUGUCAACCCAGCUGCAUGCAGCCAACCCAAACCCUUUGUAAUUUUUCUCUUCAGUGAUUCACAAUAUAUGUCCUCUCUGACUUGGGAGCAAAUUAAUGUUAAGGAUUUUGCACUUAAAAUUUAAUAUAGCAUCAUUGGCUCUGAGUCGAGGAGUGGGUAUUAUGCCAAAAUACUUAUUGUCCCCAUGUUGUGUCUAGCAAGUUGGGAAUUCUGAUAUAUGGCUAUUUUAAACAAAAGUCCAAAUGAACUUUAGAAUUGGCUUGAGAAGGAAGAGAGAAAGAAUUUUAAAUUAAAGCAAAAGAGUCUUUUGUUUUCUACCCCAGUUAUACUGAGAUGACAUAGUUUGGAUGUUUGUGCCCUCCAAAUCUCAUGUUGAAAUGUAAUCCCCUGUGUUGGAGAUGGGACCUGGUGGGAGGUGUUUGGGUCAUGGGGGUGGAUUCCUCAUGAAUAGCUUGGUACUGUCCUUGCAAUAAUGAGUGAGUUCUCACUCUGAGUUCAUGUGAGAUCUGUCUCUUUAAAAGACCGUGACACCUCCCCCUACUCUCUCUCUUGCUCCCACUCUUACCACAUGAUGCACCUGCUUCCCCGUUUUCUUCUGCCGUGGGAGUUCCAUAUGCACCUAACCCUGGAGCUCCCAAAUUUAUAAAACAAUUGCUAAUAGACAUAAGAAAUGAGAUAGACAGCAACACAAUUUGAGUAUUGAAGGGGGACUUCAAUACUCCACCGACAGCUCUAGAUAGGUCAUCAAGACAGAAAGUCAAAAAAGAAACAAUGGAUUUAAACUAUACCCUGGAACAAAUUGACAAUCUACCAUGUUUGGAAGUUUCCUGAGGCUUCACCAGAAGCAGAUGCCAACACCACACUUCCUGUACGGACUGCAAAAAUGUGAGCCAAAUUAAAACCACUUUUCUUUAUAAAUUAUCCAGUCUCAGCUAUUCCUUUACAGCAAUGCAAGAAUGGGUUAACACAUAAGUCUUAUGAGUUAACUGAUUUGUGACCCUCCAAAUACAAUAAAUAACAAAUGAAAUAUCUAACCAUUGGAAGCCCUCUUUGUGGCUCUGCAGUCAGUUGGAUGGAGGCUCACAGGGGCUAUAACUACCUCAUGAGAUCAGCAGGUUAUAAUCCCUCCUAGGAUUAUGUAACACACUAUGCAGAUAUUUAUAAUUAUAUUGUGAAGGAGAAAUUAGAUGUGCAGGUAUACAUUUUGAAGUAGGAGGAAAUGAAAAGGGACAGUAAGAGUAAAAGGUUUUGCUGUGAUUCUGUUUGGUAAAACCUCUUUUGAACAAAGAUUUCCUCAAAGAAAUGAGAGCAAAAUAUAAUCAGCUUGAGGGCUCUGAGUAUAGCAUUGUGUCAUAUGGAUCAAAAGGAAGCCUAAGCUUUUGAUCCCUUUUCUCAGGUGGGGAAUGGGAUUUAGAGGUAUGUCAGUAUCUACAAAUUCAGUUCUAAGAUGUUGAGAAGAAGCUUUGAAGCCAAUAAAAAGCAUAAGGCAGGAUUUCAUUAAAAAUAGUUAUUGGGGGAACAUUGAGCAGUGGUGUGGAAUAUUGGGCUAGCGCUGGAAUAUGGGAUUAUGCACAUACCCUGAGAUGCUUCUGCACCCAGCCACACCACAAGCUCUGAAACAGCAUGCCUGAAAUUCCAUUGCUGCGGACCUCAAGCAGUGACUUCAUGACUUUGGGAGCACUGGCAAAAUCCGGUGCCUUGAUGAGCCAUUGGGAAUGAUGGCUGCAAUCUUAACAGUUAAGUCUUUAGUCAGAGAUGAAUGAACUCAUUUAAUACAAAGCUUUUUCAAAAUCCACAGGGGUGAUUAUGUUGACAGUCAUAACUAAAAAUAGUAAUCCCUAAAAGUCUCAUCCCAUAUUUACAUUGCAUUUAAAGGACUAUAAAUUUGGCAUGGUGAUUACGUCCUAUUGUGUCCAACACUUGGCAUUUGAAUUACUAAGGACCCAUAACUUAACCCUCAAUACUUUUGAGAUAGAAUUUAUAUAAAUGAUCAAUGCUUUAUUAAAGGUAAUAAUGAUAGUGUCUUUACCAUUUUCCAGUUGAUGGAGCACUUUUUCAUAUAUUACUUUUUGAAAGAAAUAGUUUAUUUAUAAACUAAAAAAAAAAAAAGGAUGGUGUUCAGCAGUUGUGGUAUAAAUUGUCUCCCCCAAAAUUCAGAUUUUGAAAUCCUAUCCUCUCAGAAUGUGACAUUAUUUGGCAAUAGGGUUGUUGCAGAUGUAAAUAACUUGAGAUGCAGUCAUUAGGGUGGGACCAAUGCCAGUAUGACUGAAGUCCUUAUAAAAAGAGGAGAUUUGGACACAGGCAUGCACACAGGGAGAACGGCACAUGAACAUGAAGGCAGAGAUCGGGUGAUGUGACUACAAGCAGAGGACCGCCAAAGCUUGCCAGCCAACCAUUAGAAGCAAGGAGAGAGGCAUGAACAGAUUCUUCUUCACAGCCUUCAGAAGGAAGCAACCUGGCUGACAACUUGAUCUUGGACUUCUACCCUCCAGAGCUGUGAAUCAAUACAUUUGUGUUUGUGGUAUUUUGUUAUGGGAGCCCAAGCUAACUAAUACAGCAGUCAUCAACACAUCCAUGUUAUUUGUGAUUGUUCUGCAGCCUUGAGUGUUACCUUUUUUUUCUCCCACUUUUCCCUGAAACCUUCUGAAAUUGGAUGUUGGUUUCCUUAGAGAAGGUGUGUAUGAUGGUAAGUUUGGGGGAGGCCUGGGUAAGGAGGGGCAGGAUAAGGGGUGUUUUAGGGUGAAUGCCUGAGCCAGCAGAGGAUGGUGAAUGGUGGCCUGGAGAGAAGAAGCCAGAGAGAAAAAGACAGUCCAUGCAAAUGGACCCCAAAAGUGAACAGGAGUAGCUAUUUUUAUAUCAGACAAAACAAACUUUAAGGCAACAGUGGUUAAAAAAGACAAAGAGGGAAAUUAUGUAAUGGUAAAAGGCCUUGUCCAACAGGAAAAUAUCACAAUCCUAAACAUAUAUGCACCUAACCCUGGAGUUCCCAAAUUUAUAAAACAAUUACUAAUAGACCUAAGAAAUGAGAUAGCAACACAAUAAUAGUGGGGGACUUCAACACUCCACUGACAGCACUAGACAGGUCAUCAAGACAGAAAGUCAACAAAGAAACAGUGGAUUUACACUAUACCCUGGAACAAAUGGACUUAACAGAUAUAUACAGAACAUUCUACCCAACAACCAUGGAAUAUACAUUCUAUCAACAGCACAAGGAGCUUUCUCCAAGAAAGACCAUUUGAUAGGCCACAAAACAAGCCCCAAUAUAUUUGAGAAAAUUGAAAUUAUAUCAAGCAUUUUCUCAGACCACAGUGGAAUAAAACCAGAAAUCAACCCCAUAAGGAAUCUCCCUUGCACCAAGUCUCUUUUUUCCCUCACUGCUUCCAGAGCCAUCGCUCUAAAAUAUGUAUCAUUUCACUUAUUUGCUCAGGGCUUCAGUGGCUGCCCAGAACAUGCAGGAUUAUGCUGAAAUUCCUUGGCAUGUCCCCCACUUCAUUAUUGGCCUACUUUUCGUUUUUUUCUUUUUUUUUUUUUGAGGUUUAUUGAAGUAUGACUGACAAAUAAAAAUAUUAUCUAUUCAAGGUGUACAAUGUGCUAUUUGGAGAUAUAUAUAUAUAUAUAUAUAUAUAUAUAUAUAUAUAUAUACACACACAGUGGCCAGAUACAGAAAAAUAAAUACUGCACGAUCUCACUUACAUGUGGAAUCUAAAAAAGUCAAACUUACAGAAACAAAGAGAAGGCUGAUUUUCCAAUUUUAUAACCUGCCUAGUGUUUUCUCUUGAGCUCUAGCCAUGAGGAACUAUCAACUAAUUCGCUUCCUGAAUGUGUUGUGCCCUUCUGCGUGGGUGUUCAAUUCCACUUGCUUUUUCCGCUUUUUGCAAUGCUAUUUCUUCUUUGCUUUUUUGCUGAAGUUCUUUUUGCUUUUUUGCUUUUAAGGCACCCCAAAUAUGGCAUUUCCCUUUUACUUCUCGCUGGGCAUAUAACAGUACGGAAGACAGCCGAUAAUUUAGUGGAUGAUAUAUGCAUCAAACAAACCAUCAUAAAUCAUUACUUUAUUUUCAUUAUUUUAAGGACUUUGGAGGGGGGAGUGUCCAACAGGUGGAACAUACCUGAAAUGAUGAAAGUGAGGCUACUUCUCUGAAGAAGUGCUAUUUAAGGCAAAAUGUAAAGGCUAUGUAGGAGUUCUCCAUGCAGAGAGUGGGCAAAAUGGCCUUCUGGCAAAGGAAAUAGUGUAUAUGAAGACCCCAAGAGAGGAAGAAGCUUCCUUUCCUGGACUCAUGUGGUAUCUUGAACAUGUACAUAGGUGAAAGCCUUGUAUCGCUAUAAUAAUUUUCUGGCUGUGGGUCUUUUAAGUGCAGAAUGUAGGUAAGUCCUAUUCAUACUCAUAUUCCCAGAAUCCUGCACAGUACUCAUGCACACACAAAAUUGGCACUUACUUUAAUGUUUGUGAAUAAUGGAUUUAAUGAAAUAAUGACUUGGAUAGAUGGAUGAAUAGAUGGGUUCAAUGUGUUUAAAAGAUGCUGUAAAUGGGUAUCAUGAAGUUAACAAACAAAACCAAGGUGAUGAGUAUCAGCAGAAGUAAAUGACACAAUCCACCAGAUGAACCAGGGUCAUAUUCAGGGUCAAGAAUGCAGGUAGAAAUCUUGACAUUGGCAAAUCCAUGCAAGGAUUGAGUCAAGAAUCAGGAAACUUUCUUGCAGGAAACUGAGUCUAGGAAUAACACUGAAACUAAAUCUUCUUUAGAUUGUUGGUCUAUACAAUAGAACAAUCAGAGAAUAUAAUUAGACUGGAAGAGAGUUGGCAAAUUAUGAUUCAUAAGUCAAAUCCAGCCUGCUGCUUAGUUUUGUAAAUAAAGUUUUAUUUUUUAAUUUUGAGACAGAGUUUUGCUCUGUUGCCCAGGCUGGAGUGCAAUGGCACGAUCUUGGCUCACUGCAACCUCUGCCUUCCCGGUUCAAGCAAUUCUCCUGCCUCUGCCUCCCAAGUAGCUGGGAUUACAGGUGCCUGCCACCACACCCAGCUAACUUUUGUAUUUUUAGUAGAGAUAGGGUUUCACCAUGUUGGCCAGGCUGGUCUCGAGCUCCUGAUCUCAGGUGAUCUGCCUGCCUCAGCCUCCCAAAGUGCUGGGAUUAUAGGCCUGAGUCACUGCGCCCAGCCAUAAAGUUUUGUUAAAAGACAGCCAGACUCAUUUGUUUGUCAUUUGGCUGGGGCUGCUUUCAUGCUAUAAUGCUAGAGUUGAGUGUUUGCUAUAGAGACCGCAUGGCUUGAAAAACAUAAAAUACUUACUGUCUGGACCUUUACAGAAAAGGUUUGCUGGCUGUUGGUCUGGAACAUCAGCUGCUUGCUCAAUGGUAUUAUUGAGUGCUACUAAGUAUUAGGCACUGUUCUAAAUUCUUCACAUGUUAACUCAUUUAGACCUUGUAACAAUCCUGUGAAGUAGGGGUUAUUAUUAUCUCCAUUUGAUGGAAGAGAAACUCCAGGCACAGAAAAGUUAAAUUAUUUCCCUAGGAACGUACUGCCAAUGAGCUGUGGCCUUAGCCACUGUGCUAUACUGCCUCUAUAUAGAAGCAUCCUGUUUUUUGUUGUUGUUGUUGUUGAAUGGGUAUAACAGGUGGGAACCUCUUAGAGAGAUGAAAGUCACACCAUCACUCUCUUAAAUAUAAGCUGAAGACUGGAUGGCUCAUAUAUUCUUGCUGCUCUCCCAGAGGUUAAUCUGAAAAUUCUUGGGAAGACAUAAAUAGAAUUUAAUGACCAUUUGUUUCUUUAUCCAGGACUGAUAGCCAUGCAUGUAAGAUAUCAUUUACUUCUUGCUUAACACACUUUCACAAAGAGAAUUGUGUUAUUUUCCUAAAUCAGUAAGGUAUAAGCUAUAGUCAGGCAUAGUGGCUUUCCAUCCAAUUAAAUAUAUGUUAAAGGAGUCGAAGCUGGGAAUUUUUAACAUUGAGUAAAUCAGUGAAGACAGCAUAGGUUGCAAGUCUUCAAGAAUUUUACCAAAUUUUCUCUUGUGAUAAUAUGAACCUGUCUAGAGAAAAUCUAAAGAUUUGGACUGGGAGUUAAUACUAGCAGUCAUGAUUAUAAUCAUAUUAUACAUUUUUGUAGAUCUUAGGACUUGAUAAAAAAGAUUUAAUAAGUGGUACAUAAUCUGGAGUAUCCAUUUUUUUUGGAGAGAAAAUAAAGGAGAGAUAGCUUACAUCUCACAAAUACUUCAAGGUCAUCAUUUCUCCCUGUCUUGCUAGAACAGGAAAAUAAGGGACAAGACAAAUAGCUGCCAGAGCUCUGAUUGUCUCCUGCUCUAUUGGAAACAGGACAUGAAGGCUAAGCUGACAUUGAUAGAGACAUGUUUUGACGUGUUGGCACAGUAUAAUAGUGAUCAUUGCCACAGCCGGGAUGUGUUCUUGUACAAUCUUUCUUGUAACAGGAACAUUAGCUUCUACUGGCAGAAUCUUUUCUUCCUUUGAUGCGUGUCUUGUUAUGUGACUCUUUCAGCUGGGUCAAGUGGUCCCCUGGUUCCUCUGUAGAUGGAGGUGAGAAGGAGACAGCCAUCUGUUUGGAUGGCUUGGAGAUUCACCUGCCUGAAGGGAGGGAGUUUGGAACAGAUGAUGGCUUUCAGACUUGGGUCCAGGAUCCCCGCCUAGAGUGACUGAUCAGGUCUGUAAUGCCAAGGGUCAUUUCUUCUGCAUAUUUUGGACAGCAGCUAUUGAACUGCUGGGCUCCCAGUCACUUCUACCUAAUUGGGGAAAGGGGGCCACCUGCUCAGUAUCCCCAAAAUAGCACCAGUCUCCACCUUUCCCUCUUAGUCUCACCAUCCCUCUGAGUCUUAGGGCUCACAGCCUACACUGCCACAGAGGUUCAAGUCUGUAGGCUUCCACAUGGCUAAUGUGAUUUUAUUGCUAAGUCCAGGAGGAGUACUUGCAGAGCAUGAUACAUGUGUCAUCUGAGGGAUUCAGAGUUAUUCAAAAAUACUUCAUAUUAUGAGUAGGAAAUUUAAACAACUUUAUUGAAAAAUGGGCCAUAUCAUACACUUUUCAGAGAUUCUUCUGUGUGACUAUAGAAUGGCACCAUGAGAGCAUCACCUGUUUUCUGUUUAUGCUAUUUACCAUGUCAGGUUAUUUUUUACUGCCAUAUAUAUUUAAUUUUGACAGUGAACAGAUAUACUAAAAAUAGAAUUACAGCGUAUCAUUUUAAUUACGGCCAUUUCAGUUGCUCAUCAACAUAACAAUGAAAAAUGGAAGGGUUACCACAACAUUGCUGAAUCGCCAUCUCUUAAUAGCUUUCUGUGAGUGUAGCAUGUACUACCAGAUAAUUAUGAAGAUUAACUCUUGCAGAUAGGGUGCCUGUACCUAUUUUUAAUAAUUUGUACGCACUGAGGAAGGAUAAAGGGUUGGAAAUACAAGAAUCUUAAUCUUAAUUAUUUUACCCCAUCUACCCUUUUAUCCGUAUUGAACUGUUGGGUAUUUAGUUUGCUUUUUUUACUUUUCCCUUUUCCUUAAUUUUUUGUUAUGGUGGAGGAGAGACUGGGGAUAGCAAAGAAAGGAAGCAAUUAAAUUUCUGUAAGAGUCACAGACAACCCUCUUUAGAACAAAGUAAAGUCCAUAAGAAUGAGUUUCCAUAUCUCUAAAACUCCACAUAGCUUAUUUAAUACUGCACAGAAGGCGGGUUAUUGAUCUGUGUGUAGAGUUGUUGGCAGAGAGGGAGAGUAGUAUAUUCCAGGAGCUUCUCUCAGUCUGCAGCAUUACUCUAAGCAGGAAAAGACCCAUGAUUCCCUGUAGUGUCUUCAGCUGCCUCUAUUAAUCCAUUGUCAAAAUCAUGGCAACAGGACACAAGGCAAAUAGCAGUUUUGUAUCAUCUUGCUUAUGAAUAUGAUCAUGAGUAAGUGCUAGUAGUCUCCCCUUAUGCAACUGGGUUUUAUAAGCAAUAGACCAGAUGUAUAUGCCCUUACAUUAUAAAUGUACCUUUAAAAGUCUGAUGUCUAAAUCAUGAUAAGGAAUCAUUUCCAAUGUAUAAAACUUAAAAUUUCCAGAACAGAGAGCAAUAUUUAUUUCUACCAGCUUUCUCUCCAUUAAAUAAUUGUUUCAAUAUCAGGAUGUGAUUGGAGCUUGAAGAAGCUUCUCUUGGGAUAUCUAAGAAUGGAAUCCAUUUUGAUUAAAUUUACUGGUAGUUGAGUCAGUAUGUAAAUGGCAUCAAAUAACCAACUGGUCAAUCUCCUUGAAUGAAUCAACUAGCCAAAGUCUAAGUAACAAUGGCUUAGGAACAGAUCCAGAUUGUGUGGGGUCUGAGGCUGUUAUGAUUUGGGGGCUUUCUCUGAGAAAAAGAAUACAUAGUUGCAUAUGCUACAUUUGGUAUGAAAAUGAAUAUUUAUUUAGAAUGAGAAAUCACAAGUUAUGCAUUAAAAAGUAUACAGAUAUGAAAUCAUCACAAAAUCCUGAAAAAUAACAAAAUAUUUUUAUUAACUUUCUGAUAUACUUUUGUAAUUGCUACAUUUUUAGUUGCUUCUUCAAAUGACAAAAAAUUUUAAAUAUAAUUUUCAAUGGAGAUAAUAGAUAAUAGUCUUUCCUUUAUCAUGUGGAUUCAAAAUUGAUUUAUGUUACUGAUGGUUUGGCAACAUUUAUUUCAGCUUAGCAACCAUCUAUUGGUAAUGUUAUGCAAAUGUUUAGGAUUCUUGUCAAACUGCAAGAAAUCUCUUUAAACUUUGCUUUAUAUAUAAACUUUAUAUUGUAGGCAUUUUAAGUUAUCUUAGGCAGUAUCUAUUCUGAAAUGUUAUUUGAUCUGACAACACUCAUUAAACAGUGUGGUCGACAUUCUCAUGCAAAUUUUGUUUUUCUUUACUAAGACAUUAAUCUGCCUUUUACUUUUUUAUUUUUGGUUUGGAACAGUCCUGGUGUAAUUCCUUUUCUCAUGUUCAUGAUACUGAUCUGCAAGCUUUAGUUUCCAUUGUGAUAUAAUAAGAAUUUUGGUGAUACUGAAACUUCUGCCAAUCUUCUCUUUCGGUUUACAUUUUGGCUUUUUUCUUCUUCUCACAUUCGAAUGUUAGUAUUAUCCAUAAUUCUGAAAAAUUAAAAUGAAUCUGAAAUUAACGCAUAAACAAGAGAAGUUCAGUGCAUCUAAAAUUGCUGCUAUAUUUUGUUCAGCUAAAAGUGUUGUAAUCAAAUUAAUCUUAUACUACACACAAUGACUUAUUAAUGAAUAUUUUUCACUUGUUUAUUCAGUCUAUUUCACUGCAUUGGUAAUAAUAUUGUGUGUUAUUUCAUCUAGAACCACUAGACUUUAUCAGAACAACAUGUGUUGGAUAUUCUAGGAUACAAUCCACUGUCCUGGGAUGCAUAAAAUAUGUAACAGCUAUAGAUUUGUGACUUACAAAUACAAAAAUUCUGGUAAAUAUCACAUAAAGAAAGGAUUCUCAUACAAAUGGGGAAAAUAUGUGGUGCAUUUAUAUUUGUGUAUGUUGCAUAAUCACGUGCAUUCCUGACAGGAGGAAACUUCAAUUUUGAUCAUGCAUCAGUGAGAACAGAAUCUUCUAUGCAAAAUGUUACACAAAUUAGCUCUUGGCUUCCUACAUUUCAAACCUUAUUUCCCCUUCACAAUCCACAUAGUUUUGGUGCUGGAUAAACUCUAGACCAUGUUAACAUCACAGUAUAACUUCUGGCCAGGCAUUUCUGAUAAAAAUCCCAGGUAAGUUGACAGGGUGGGCUGUAGAAACAUUUCUGGAAGUCAUUCCUACACUGAAUGGCUGGUCACAACUUAAUAGAAAUGCCUGGAAGCUACAGACACAUGUCCUGUUAAACCCCAACUCAGUAUAUCCCCAGCUCAGCUUCUUGUUAGCCUAAAACGCAAAUGAUUCAUGAUUGCACCAAAGUUACCCUACAUAGGAGAAAAUGUGACAGAGGAAAUCAGAGCAUAAAGAGACGGCAGUCUAAACCACUGUAGUUUAACUGUCUUUCAUUUGGAAAUUUACAAAAUUAUAUGAUAGUAUCAAGCAUGGCUAGAUCUCCUUAUGGGGAACUGUAAGGUGCAAGACCCAUGAAGCUCAUAGUACACCUUGCUCUGGGGGUAGAUCUCUCUCUUUCUCUCUCUCUAUUUCUUUCUUUCUUUCCUUUUCCCCUCUUAAGUUCACUUUGCAAUGGCCAGGGAGUGAUUUCAUCCCUUCAAUGUGAGAGACAACACAAACUUAUUUUGAGACAGGAAGGCUGUUGGGGUGAUCAGACCCAACACCAGGUUGUGGGGGCGAUGAAGUCUGGUGGAGUCAAAGGAUUGAGAAAAAGACAUUUUGAGAGAGAAAAGUGGGACCAGGGGGCCAUCGCAAUUGUGGAGGCUGUGAAGGCCCCGAGCUCUGGGAGCCCACGCUAUUUAUUGGUAGUCCAGCAGAGAAACAGAUGGUGAGAAUGUGGAGGUCAAAAAGGGCAGGCACAUGAUCUACAGCUGUGAUGGUUUAGCAUUUAUAAGGAACAUGUUCUGCUACUUGAGAUAAUGGGAAUACAAUUGAUGUAGGAGUCUAGGAGGGCCAGAAGCAAGGAGCCAGCAAGUCUAGACACAUUCCAGAGGACAUUAUGUCAGACAUGCAAGCCCUGGCUCAGUAUUUUUCCCAACACUCAGCUUUUCCCCAACAUGCACCCUUUCUCUUUUUUGUAAAAGAGAAGGUAUCAUUAUUACUAGCUAUCAUUAUUACUAGCAUAAAAGGUGGCCUUUUAAUUGAGCAAGGCAAUUGCAGGCUGUGCAGCCGUUAAUUGCCAGUUGGUGAUCCAGAUUCAUUUUUCUUACCCCUUAUGCGAACUGGAGUUGCUCUGGUUUGAAUGCUUCCCACAUACCUCCCCUUUCCCUUUUACAAGAGGACCCUUAAUCCUAGGGUUGCAGAAGGAUGAAGGUCCAUCUUCUGUAACUUCUUCAUGCUGAAUAGAGGUGAUGAUAUUCCUGCCUAACUAUUAGGGUCUCCUGUAUUCAGGGUAGACAGAAGCUGAGUCAGAAUGCAUUGGUCCAUUAAGCAUCAUGACUCCAGUCGGUCCUCGUUCCAUCUUUGCAUUCAGAUUCAACUGGCUCACGGCUUGUACUGGGGGAACCCGGUCCAUAGUUGGGAUCCAUGGCUCCCUCCAGUCUCCCGUUCCAUGUCGUACACAUCUUGAGGACAUCCACAUGAUUCAUUUGUCUCCUGCAAAAACACAAGCAUACCCUCACCCCCACGUUAGUAAAUCUACUGAAACAGAAGCAAAAACUUUUGUGGCUGUAGCCGGGAGGGUACUGAUAUUGAAAAACAGGCCCCUUCUAACAGAAGACACAGGAAAACAAAUCGAGGCUUUUCAAACCUUCAAUUUGUACUGUACAGGUGGGUCCACUAGAUGCUGUGGCUCAUGAUAGAUCUUCAGAUGUUUGGUGGGCACCCACACAGGCACCUGAUCAUCACCUGGAGAGACACAAGCAAAUCCUCUUCCACAUAUAAUUAUCUUUCCUUUUUUCCAGCUCUUUGUAUGUGACCAUAUCUUUUUCUAAGGCCUGCGGCAUUUAGAUGAGUUAAAGAAUGUAAUGUUUGUGCAUCAGCAAAGGUGCAGACACCAAAGCAUCUGCCCUUUGAUUAAGUUUAGUUAAAGGACCAAAAGGUCCUGUUGGAGAGAAAAGAAAGAGCAUUUUUAUCCCUACCUCCCUCCCCUCUAUUCCUUUUAUAUUUGCUCUUUGAGCCAUAGCUAAUUUCCGUAAUUCAGAAUGUUCUUAUCUGUCUCUGCAAAUCUCUGGUAGUCUUUGCUAGUCUCUACUUUUGUAUCUCUUUAGGGCACUGAUCAGUACUUCUCUAGGGCACUGACCUUAUAUUGCUAGUAUUCAUCUAUCCCUAUCUGUCCCUGUGGUACCUGUUAGUUCCUGCAAGUCUCUAUCUCUCUAUUUGUCUCUAUCUCUCUAUUUAAAUAAUCUCUAUCUUUCUAUUUAUCUCUAUCUCUCUAUAUCUUUAUCUCUAUCUCUAUGUAUCUCUAUCUCUAUUUAUAUCUAUGUCUAUUUAUCUCUAUCUCUCUAUCUCCAUCUCUAUCUCUAUCUCUAUCCAUUUAUCUCUAUCUCUCUAUCUCUAUCUAUCUCUAUCUCCCUUAUCUCUGCUUACUUAGUUCUACUUACUUAGCUCUACUUACUUACUUAGCUCUACUUACUUACUUAGCUCUACUUAUUUACUUAACUCUACUUAUUUACUUAACUCUACUUUCUUACUUAGGUCUACUUACUUUCCUGGAAACCUUUUUUAUGACCCUGGGUAGAGCUCAGAAAUCCACUCUUUAAGCUUUGGUAAGAGACAAAACAGGGACCCCGGACCCGGCACCAGAUUGAAGGAAACAGGAAGUGUUCUCCCCUCCCCAAAACAGGAAAACCAGAGUUUGGCCCUUGCAAAUUUCCACUCCACAUCAGCGUCAUCCUCAAUUUCCUGGAAUGAAUUGUUGAUCGUAGCAAUUAACAUAUUUAGCAAAACAAUGACCGUUGUAACAUUAUAGACUCCAUAAAGAACACAACCAAUGUUUUCAAUGAAUUUGUGGUUAUAGUUGAUGACCACUGAUUUUACUUCAGAAAGUCCAAAUAUAGCCCAGAACAGUGUCUUAAAACUCUGUUGUGAAGGUUUCAUUUUGUUUUACACCAAGGUAGUAGGAGUAGAGGUUGAACAUUCCCAUCAUAAAGGCCACAAACACCACAAUGAACACAUUCAGCGCAUAUCAUGCCUGUGUGCUCAUUAAAUCUGUUUUUCUCUAGCAGAGGCAGGUUAACCAUGAAACUGAAGCUUCAAGAUAACUUUACUUGCCCUAUGCAAAGCAGCCCAUGAUUUAUUUUUUCUGGGGACUACUGCCAACCAGGCCUGUGUGUCAAUCUGUAAGCAUCCAACAGCAGGUCUACUGUACAAAUAGGUCUUUUGUCAAACACUUAUUAACCCAAUAUACAGCCCUUCCUGUUGGAUUAGUACUACCAAAGCCUCCUGUUCUUUUCACAGUGCUGCUUCCCAGCUUUAUGUCAACAACUGAGCAAUUCUUUCUCCUAGGGAAGCAGACCAUGGAGUAGAGGAACUAAUAAUGAAUUGAAUUUCUCCGGUAUAAUCAGAGUCAAUUAUUUCCAUAUGUACAGUGACACCUUUCAAAUUUAGACUACACCUUCCUAGUAAUAGACCAACUGUUCCUGAGGGUAAGGGUCCCCUGACUCCCAUAGGGACCGUUUUUGGUGGCUCCCCAGGAAGUAAGGGUAUGGGAAUUGUGUGCAAAAGUCUACAGCAACACUGCCUGCUGUGGUGGGGGACAAUUGUUGUACGUUUGUAAGGGCACUGGCUGUGCCAGAAAUGCCUGAGUUUAUUGAGGUGCUCUCUGAAUAAACAAGCCUCAGAUUCCACUGGGUCUUAGUACUACCAAUUGCUCCAGGUUUUAAUGUUGUAACUAUAGGAGUGGUAAGUUUUGUAGCUAAUUCAUUUUCUCGCCCAUUAAGGGGAGAGAGAGGAGGUGGCCAUUCACUUAAUCCAGCAGUUGGAGCUGAGGGGAUAGUAAAACAUACUUUUUUGUUUCCCUUUUUUUUCUUUAAUUUCCUCCAGUUUCUGUUCCUCACAUUCAGAAUCUGAAGUUAGUUUUUUACACUUGUCCUCCACUUCCUCAUCUGAAUCUGCCUCAUCAUCUGUUUGAAAUGGCUCAAGAGCUGCUUUUAUUAGCGCCCACAUGGACCAAACUGAGACUGGAAUUUUUGCUCCAUCCUUAUAUGCUUUUUAAAAAUCUCUGCCAAUUCUCUCCCAUUCAUCCAACUCCAUAGUCCCUUGUUCUGGGAACCAUGGGCAAAACUGCUUUACUGCACUAAAGAGUGAUAACAAAUUCUGAGUACUAACUUUCACUCCCCUUAUUCGUAAUAAAUGCCUUAAGAAAUUUAAAUAAGCAGAAUGUCUGCUUUCACUUUGUCCCAUUGUUACCCUGGUUCUUCUGAGAGCUCAUCUUUCCCGCUGAGCUUCUUUUAGAUGUCCUUGGGUGUCCUUUGACGAAGGAUCCUCUGCUUUCACACGCUCUAGUGUUCCUUUACUGGGGUCUUUGUCUCCUCACUUUGGGCGGCCAGGAAUGUUGGGGUGAUCAGACCCAACACCAGGUCGUGGGGGUGACAAAGUCUAGUGGAGUCAAAGGAUUGAGAAAAAGACAGUUUGAAAAAGAAAAGUGGGACCAGGGGGCCAUUGCGAUUGUGGAGGCUGUGAAGGCCCUGAGCUCUGGGAGCCUACACUAUUUAUUGGUAAUCCAACAGAGAAACAAGUGAUGAGAAUGUGGAGGUCAAAAGGGCAGGCACAUGAUCUACAGCUGUGAUGGUUUAGCAUUUAUAAGGAACAUGUUCUGCUACUUGAGAUAAUGGAGAGCAGGUUCUUUUAACCCAAGAUACAAUUGAUCCUGGGAGAGCAAGGAACAAGGAGCUAGCAAGUCUAGACACAUUCAGAGGACAUGUCAGACAUACAAGCCCUGCCUCAGUAUUUUUCCCAACACUCAGCUUUUUCCCAACAGAAGGCCAUGGAUCAAUGGAACAAUGAUCUAUAUAUGGCACAGGCUUGACAUUUCUCAUGUUUUUAAGGGGCAGCAAUUCUCAUUGCUAAGUAACCUGUAAUUGUGCUCAUUGGCUUUUUCUACCAUUUUCUGUUGAAAAUAAGGCAAAUACUUCCACCUUAGGAAAGUGGUGAAACAGCUAGGUUAAAUAGAUUUUCUAAGUUGAAACAGUGUCUUAAUGGCUUCAAUAUUUGGGAAAUGCUCUGUUAAAUAGUUGUAAUUAAUAUAAGACUUCCCAGAGUCUUUGAGAUGUCAAUGUGAACAUCAAAGAUGCUUUAAGAAGGGAUUAGGGCAUGCAACAUUUCCUAAACUUAUUUGAUCAAGAAUUUCUUUUCUUUUUAUUUAAUCCUCAGGAUCUCCUGUGGACCUGACCUAGUGGAGAAAUACAAAGCUUUUAUUUCCAUUAGCCAGUAGCAGGUGAGGAGUCAGGACUAAUAUUCCUGCCUGAGUCAGCUGAGAUUACACAUUUAAUAAACACUUAUGGUGCAAUGACAAUAUAGUUUUCAAUAAAACUCUGUUCUUAAUAAAACCAUAAUUAUUCACGAGUUUGUGAUUACUAACAUUUAUAUAGAUUUUUUUAAAUGUAAUUUAACUUAAAGUUCUAGAAUACAAGUGCAGGACGUGUAGGUUAGUUACAUAGGUAAAUGUGUGCCAUGGUGGCUUCCUGCACCUAUCAACCCAUUACCUAGGCAUUAAGCCCAACAAAUAUUAGCUAUUUACCCUGAAGCUCUCCCUCCCUCCACCCUCACAACAAGCCCCAGUGUGUGUUGUUCCUCUCCCUGUGUUUAUGCAUUCUCACUGUACAGCUCCCACUUGUAAGUGAAAAAACACAGUGUUUGGUUUUCUGUUCCUGUGUUAGUUUGCUGAGGAUAAUGGCUUCCAGUUCCAUCUGUGUCUCUGCAAAGGAUGUGAUCUAAUUCUUUUUUAUGGCUGCAUAGUAUUCCAUGGUAUAUAUGUGCCACAUUUUCUUUAUCCAGUCUAUCAUUGAUGGGCAUUUGAGUUGAUUCUACAUAGAUUUUAAAAUAGAUCUCAUUCAGAGAGGGUUACAAUGAAUUGAAGAAACUCAAGACACAAAAUGACCAUCUUUCUGAUUCACAUUGAUUCUGGAUUAUAAGCUUUUGCAAAAAUCUUAGACAUUUGUUCCUGCUGUGAUCAAGAUGCCUUAUAAGGGCUUGAUGACAGGUAUAAAGGUGUGUUUAAAAGAGAAGAAGGAGUACCAGGUGUGGUAGCAUGUACCCAGCUCUUUAACUAGUUUCAGCUACUUGGGAGGCUGAGGUGGGAGGAAUUCUUGAGCCCAGGAGUUCGAGGGCAACACAGCAAGACCCCAUCUCUUAAAAAGAAUAAAAGAGGGAGCUGAGUUAUGAGUAAGAAUGGAGGAACAUGGCUGUGAGAAUGGAAGGGAGGAGUUACACAAAGUGACAGAUGAGAGAUGAUAUCCCCUGCUGACGGUCAGGGCUGAGAAUGAAGACUGAGUUAGACAGCUGUGUUGCUGUCCAUUGACACAGAAGCCUUAACUGGUGGCAGUGUCUAUUCUGCUCUGCUAUUGAAUCUCAAAAUUGAACCUACCUCUUUACUUCCACUGCCAUUGCUCAAGUUCAGUCCAGGUUUCUAUCAAAACUGCCUCUUAUUUUCCUAACUGGAAUCCCUGCCUUACAGUUUAUUUUUUAUUGCAGCAUUUUCUCUUCCCUGAUGCCAUAACUACCUUCCAAAAUGUAAACAUAAUGAUGCUCUGGACAUCCACACAAGCCUUUUGGAAAGGAGCCAUAGUUAUUGCAAAAUGAGAGGAGACAAGGAGGGGGAAAAAGGAGUUGGCCAAGGCUCUGGUCAUCAGGGCACACACUGUGGGCCAAGUGAUGGGUAAAAGCAGAGCCUUUGUAGUGCAGCUUGCACUGUAGAGCAGGCAAAUGUCCUUAGUUCUGUUUCUCUAGUACUCAAGAUUGAAGGCAAACUGCUAUGAGGAGUUGAGCCAGUCCUUCCUGUGUUGACUUGAGCCUCAUCGACUGCAGACACUCACAGUAUGAGGCACAGUGCAUGUUCACUUGUCUAUGCUCAAUCACACCACCAACUCACUUCCAUUUCCUAAUGUCAUUUAUUUCCAUUAAGAUUCUCUCCUUGUUUGGUGUCGCUGGGGCUUGGCGCAAGGCUUUUGAAUUUCCUACUGAAAAUCAAAGCUUACUGCUGUCAGAUAAGAUGAGAAGAGAGAACUGAUGAAGAAAGAAAGAAAAAGGUACAAAAAAGUAUUUAUACUAUACUUCCUGGUGAAAAAUGGCAACAGGGGAGUUUCAAGCUAAAAUUAAGAGUAAAGAGAGGAGGCGGGCAGAUCACAAGCUCAGGAGAUUGAGACCAUCCUGGCCAACAAGGCGAAACCCCAUCUAUACUAAAAAUUCAAAUAUUAGCUGGGUGUGGUGGUGUGUUCCUGUAAUCCCAGCUACUCAGGAGGCUGAGGCAGGAGAAUCACUUGAACCCGGGAGGUGGAGUUUGCAGUAAGUUGAGAUUGCACCACUGCACUCCAGCCUGGCAACAGAGCUAGACUCCCUCUCAACAACAACAACAACAAAAAAAAAAAAAAAAAAAAAAAGAGGAAUGAAUAGAAUCACAGGUUCAAGGAAUAACAUUAGGAAACCAACUUUAAAGUCAUUAGUUUGUGGGUUCCAGUCUCGCUCUGCCAGUUUCUGGCUCUGCUUGUUAAUAUGUAAAAUAGUAAAAUGGGAUUAAUAACAGUAGGUGCCUCAUAGAGAGGUUGCGAGAAUUAAGUAUUUCAUAUACUUAGUUAAUUAGUCAGUGUUAAUUGACAUUUUUUUUUGUCAUUGAUGAUAGCCUGAUCAACAGAAGUUAGGCUUGAAGUUAGAAAUGUUAGAAGUUAAAAGAAAUGAAGAUUAUUCCUUCAUCUUUUUCUACAUUGAUUGACUUAUUGAAAAAUUGUUACCAUUUUUUGAGCACCUAUUUGAUUUUAGGGAGAAUCCUUCAAAACAGAAGACACUGUUAAGAAGUGUAGAAUCUGGAAGCUUAGAGAAUACAGCUACUUUAAAUCCUUUUUUGAAGUGAGACAUAGACAAUUUAAAUAUCAAUUGGAUAAUCCAUCAAUAGAUUAAAAUUUCAGAGUGUUAGAGCUAAAAAAAGUACUUCACAGAUCAUUCACUCAAACCCUUUCAUUUUCCAGAUGCCCAAGCUGAGUUGCAUCAUUCAUUCAUUCAUUCAUUCAUCCUUCAUUCAUUUACAAUGUUUAUUGAGUGCCACCUGUUUGUCAGAUAUGGUUACCUGACAGGUAGUUCCUGAGACACAGCAGUGAACAGAACGGAACUGAUCCAUGCUCUUUUGUAGCUUACGUUCUAGUGGAGAAGGCAGACAACAAACAAAUAAAAUAGCAGUGGUAACAUGUCCUAAGACAAAAAUGAAACAAGGUGAGAGUAAAGAGGGGAAGCAGGCAUAUGUGUUAGUGCUUUGUGGGUAUGCGUGCUGUAUUAGUCUGUUCUCACACUGCUAAUAAAGACAUACCUGAGACUGGGUAAUUUAUGAAGGAAAGAGGUUUAAUUGACUCACAGUUCCACAUGGCUGGGGAGGCCUCACAAUCAUGGUGGAAGGUGAAGGAGGAGCAAAGUCAUGUCUUACAUGGCAGCAGGCAAAGAGAGCAUGUGCAGGGGAACUCCCCUUUAUAAAACCAUCAGAUCUCAUGAGACUUAUUCACUGUCAUGAAAACAGCAUGGGAAAAAUCCACCUCCAUGAUUCAAUUAUCUCCCACUAGGUCCCUCCCAUGACACCUGAGAAUUAUGGGAGCUACAAUUCAAGAUGAGAUUUGGGUGAGGACACAGAGCCAAAACAUAUUAUGUGCAUAUGCUGUUUUUAAAGAAUGUUCAGGGGAGGCCUCUUUGAUCAGGGGAUAUUUAAGUAGGCACUUAAAGGAUCUGAGUGCCAGAUUUGCUUGUCCUGGAGCAAAGUAGCACUUUAAAGAAGAUGCCUGUUCAGAUGACUUGCCCAACCCUCUCCAGGAUAAAUUCACAAGAGAUUUCGAUAUGAAGUGAGACAACAGAAGGACUAUAUCAGAGGAAAGGUGACACAAGUGCACUUUUGGCUAUGGGUCAUGAUGGCUCUCAGAAGGUUACAGGAAUCCUUUGUUGGAAACCCGGCAGGAAGUGAGGUAGAGUUAGGGCAGGGAGCAAAAAGAUUAAAAUGUGUGUCUUUAUGUGGGCUUUUGAUGCAUAUGAGCAUGAGUUGAUGUGAGGAUAUCUGAAACUGCUUUAUCUACUGCAGAAAUAUUGUCAUGAAACUUAAAGGAAAAUUAAAGGAAAACAGGUGUAGGUUCUAGAGUAUAUUCUCACUGAGGCAGUAGCAUAAAAAUUUAAAAAUCCCUGACAGCAGAACUGAUAGAUUGUUAGAAGGUUUAAGUUGGAAUGUGAGAGAGGGCCCCCAGCCCUCAUUCUUCAUAUUCUCUUUGUGGGGGUUAACUGUCAACAAGAGAGCAAUUUCAAAGACAAGCUGAGAAUGAGGGUGUGUUGGUGUCAUGCCACCAACAUGAAGGUCAUGAAUGUAAAUAAGGUAAUAAAAAUAUCAAUGGAAUGGUGCACUGUUGACAGGGAGUGUUCCAAAAACCAAACCAAACAAAAAACACAUGGGAUAUUUGGAAGAUCAACUCUUUAGACAGAAAAUUCUAUUAGCAAUUCUAUGGGGAACAACUCCCUGUAGGUGAAAUGUCUUAGAAGCAACAAAUUCUUUUUGUUCAUGGUUGAAUAAAAUGAGAUAAUAAUGCAAUAAUCUCCUAAUUGAGAGAAUAUCCUGGAGAUAUCAACCAUACCUAGAAUGACCAGGAGAGGGUAGAAGACUUGAUUGGGCUUGCCUAAUUAAAUAUCUGGUUUGUUUCAAGAGGAAGAGUGAAUUCACAAGACUAACUGUAACUUCAGGAAAAGUCUUAAAGAGUCCAGUGGAAACAGUUCUUAACCAUAGAGUUUUAAUGACAGAGCCUGCCUUUAAAAUUUGUUUUUGCAUAUUCUUUAUGAAUGACAAAAGCAUAAUACCCUAUCAAAGAUGCCUAAGAUUUUUUAAGUGUGUUCUUAUCUAUAAAUAGAUGAAAAAUGGAACUUGAAAGUAUUUGGGAAAAAAUGGACACAUGUUAAUAUUAGACUGUAGGUAUAGGAUAUUUUCAUAUAGGUGUGCCCUUUUAGGAUCUUCCUGAGAAGGAAGAUACCAAGCUGAAAGUCCCUAUCAUUUAAUUAAUUAAGUGAUGCUACAAUGCUUGCGAGUUCACAGGAACUGGGCUGUGGAUGCCUCUUGUCUAAUUCAAAGUGGUAAAGCUUAUAUAUAUUAGAAAUAAUCUUCUACUGCAGCCAUUUCAUCAUUCCCUCCCACUUUCAUUCUCUUAUUACUGAUACGGUUUGGCUGUGUCCCCACCCACAUCUCAUCUUGAAUUAUAGUUCCCAUAAUACUCACGUGUAGUGGGAGGGACCCCGUGGGAGGUAAUUGAAUCAUAGGAGCGGUUACCUCCAUGCUGCUGUUCUCAUUAUAGUGAGUUACCGCGAGAUCUGUUGGCUUUAUAAGGGGCUUUUCCCUGUUUGCUCAGCAGUUCUCCUUCCUGCCAUCCUGUGAAGAAGGAUGUGUUUGCUUUCCCUUACACCAUGAUUGUAAGUUUUCUGAGGCCUCCGUAGCCAUGUGGAGCUGUGAGUCAAUUAAACUUCUUUACUUUAUAAAUUACCCAGACUUGGGCAGUUCUUUAUAGCAACAUGAGAAUGGACUAAUACAAUCACAAUGCCAGGGACUCUAUCAGGGCCAGUGUGCCACUGUGAUCUUUGCCCUUAAAUGGAAAAUGUUUAUUGUCAGAUGUCUCCUCUUCCCUCCCUUUCAACAAUUAAUGCCACUGACCUCAACGAUGGCCUAGGGUACAGAACAUUCUUCAGAAUCGAUGCUUCCCUUGAUUUCCUCACCUCAUAUUUAGCACUUGAGUUCUCUAGCAUAAAUCAGAAGUAUGACAAAUUGUGGAAAUCCUAUAUAUCAUCUAGAAGAAAGGAGAAAUAGUUGAAGACAAAAUGUAGUCGUUAUCAGUAGGUAUUCAUCAAUUACUAUAUAUAUUGAAUCUACAAUAGCCACUGAUUUUUAAGUGGUGUCAUCAUUUUAUGUAAAACUAAAGGCAAUGCUUCCUCAUUACACCAAGACGCAAUGUUUCUUACAUCUUAUAAUUUUUAUUUCACAUUAUUAAGAGACUAUUUUAGACUUAGAUUUUUCUUUUAUCAUUUAUCAUCUUUGUGCAUGUAUGCAUCUUUGUGCAUCUUCACUGUGUGCAAGUGAAAUAAAUUGUCUGUUAUUGCAGGAAGAUGUGGAAUUAUAAUCAUUCCUCCCAUGAAGAAUAUUUGCUUCACUGUUAUUAGAUUUAUACUGUAUUGCUCAGUAUCCUUGCCUUUCUUCUUGUCUAUCACAUUUUAUUUAAUGCCGAGUAACAGUGCAAAAUUUUAAGGAACACAAUGAGACUCAUCAUUUGUAGCACAAGCAGUGCAAAUAACUAAAGUGACAACCGUAUGAAGAUCUAUGACCAAGUUUGCACACGUGCAGGCAAUUACAACUUCCUCACAACUGCUACCUGGGUGGCAAUGUUUUAAGACACCAUCAGUUAGAGAAUGUAUUUCAAUUUCAGAAAUAUUUAAGAUGUGGAGAAAAUGGACAUCCAGUUUUUAACAAAAUAUGGUAAUUACAGAAAUAUAAGGUAACAAAGACCUGUAAUACUUUCUAAUGCUGUGGGACAAUAGGGAAGAAAUGUCGGUCAGAGAAUAGCUGACUUUGACUUUAAUCUCCUGAUGAAUAUAUCCCUAAUUUCAAAUGAACCCUGGCACAAAAGAGAUGCUCAGUACCAACCUCUUCAGGUAAUGAAUGAGAAGCUAAGGUUGACUUUCUUCUCUGACGGAGAAGUUAAGUUUUCUUAAAAAAAUCAUAGCUGAUUCAUAAUAACAUAAGUUAAUUUUGACAAAAGAAAGAUCACCAAUGACCUCACAAUCCUAAUAGGAUUACUUUUAUUUUUUUAUAUUCAUCUUAGUGUUCAUCUAUGUAAGUUUUUAGUGUUUCUAGUUGUAAUCAUAAUGAAUAUAACAUUUUUAUACAUUUACACUGAAUAUUAUAUCAUAACAGUAUAAUUAUAAUUUUAUGGCUGUGUAAUAUUCCAUUGAAUUAUACACAGUAAUUUAUUUAAAGAUUCAUUGUUAUUAUACAUGUAAAUUACUUCUGAUGCUUUGCUAUUUUAGUUAAAGCUAUAAAUAACAUUAUCGUGCAUUUAGUUUUCCCUUCUGUUAAAUUAUAUUCCUAGGAAACAUUCCCAGGAGUGGAAUUUUUGGUGAUGGGGAAUGAUACAUUUUUAUGGCUCUUGGUAUAAAUUGCCAUAAAAACAGGUUCUAAUAAAAUUCAGUGGCAAUUUCUCCUUAAAGAUUCUGAAGGACAGGGGACUAUUAGCCACUUUAUAAUACUGCUUCAUUUUCUAGGAUGUAUAUGUCAUUGGAGGCAUGGCUUAAGAAGAGAGGAAAAAACAAAUUGCUGUCGCUUGGUUACUACAGCGCUCCCCAAUUUUCGUACAGCCUGGGUGCUGCAGUUCAGCUCUUUGCUCUGCUUUCUAGCUUUCUCAGCAAUUUUGCAACUGAACAUAAGGCUCUAAGGGGCUCUGAGUUAAGGGAUAUCGGUCAUUACUAGGUAGAACAUGGAACAAAAUUCUUUCUAAGUUUUUCAGAACUGGAUAGUAAAAGGUAAGAUUUGGUUAAGCAGGGUGGUUUGGUUACAAUAUAAUUUGCAGAGUCGCUCUAUGGAAUUACUCCCAUUUACAGGGUGAAAAUGAUGAUGCCUAUUUUGCUAGAUUCAAGAUAACUUAUAUAGUCACAGUCUUUGAAAAACAACAUCUAUGACCACCAAAUAUAGACUACGGCUAAAAGUUAAGGGCCUGAGAAGGCUAUAUAUGAAUUUAGGACAGAAGUAUAUGCCUCUUAGGAAUGUAUGCCAUUUUAGAAUAAAAAAAAAAUCCUUUAGGUCAUGUCCAGGUUUCUACCAUAUCCUCCUUAUAGCACAAAGAAUGUCAGUAACUGAGAUAACAGAGAUAUUUAUUUGUCUCCCAUGAUACUGAAGGAAAAAUUUAAGCAGGCAUUACAAUUCACACAAGUCUUAUACAGGCUGUGUUCUUCAUAUAGGAGGGUUACUUUGUUGACCUAUCUGUUAACCUAUCCUAAGUAAAGCCCUUCUUUGUUUUCCAUUAAAAAGUUUAGUUUUAUCCAUGUUAUCUCUGUCCUCACAGUUACAAAGGACUUAAGCAUCUUUUUGAGAAAAGGCAUGCGUAAGUAACUUUUUAAGAAAAGGGUCAGGGAUGCCAUCUGUGGCUAUGGGAAAGCAAAACAAAACAGAAUUAUCUCCAGAGAAUGUCACAAUGGUUAUCAGAACACACAAACUGCUGUUUGCAAACCUGUGUUAGGAUCGCCAUGAUACUAAAUCUCAAAGAAAGUCUCUAUACACAUGUGAUAUUAUGAUACCAAAGAGCUCAAAUAGGAAGUUUGAGUUCAGAUUUUCGAUCAUUUGGUUUUUGUAGCAUUUAUUAUAGAAAUUAGUAAAUUAUCUCUAGUAUUUUCAUUAAACAUUUGGUGCUGUCAGUGCUGUUAACCAUGGAAACACAUUUGUGUUGUAGUAAUCAGGACUUGUUCAGGUGCAAGUGACAGAAACACAACACAAACAAAUGAGAAGGGCACUUUGUGGCUCAUCUUACAGGGCAGUCUGGAUAGUUUUGGCACAACUUGAUCCAGGGGCUUGAAAAAUGUGAUCAUAUUUCUAUUUUAAUCUCCAUUUCAUGGUUCUGUACUUUUUGUCUUUUUCAUGCAGGUUCUAGCCAUUUGUUAGGAGAGAUGGGCUCUGGUAGCCCAAAGUAUGCACUUACUGUUUGUGAACCCACCAAAAGAGAGAGUUCCUGUCUCUGUCAGCACCAAAGCUCAAGAUAGACUUUAAUUGACCAUGUUGGUGUUAGAUGCCCAUCCUUGAAAAAAUUACUUAAGAAAAUGAUAUCCUCUCAUUGGUGAAACCUGAAUUAUCCUUCAUCCCUUUGGCAGGUGGGGCCAGGCAUCAAGACUGACUGUGGAUUUUAAGAGGGGUGGUGCUGCAGGAGAGAAGGGUGCUCCUACUAGAAGAGGAGGAAGAGAUUCUGAGCAAACCCAACAAGCAGUCAUGACAGUGGCAGUUCUAAAUGCCUACAAGAUCCACUAAACAUUGGUUACAUUUGAGAAGGUCUUUCCCAGUAUUUUUCCUUUUCUUUUGUAUUUGCUUUCCAUAAUCUUCUAUGUAA